RNAcentral lists this ribosomal RNA (253 nucleotides) under uncultured bacterium. RNAcentral describes it as "partial 16S ribosomal RNA". It matches the Rfam family "Bacterial small subunit ribosomal RNA", at positions 524 to 776 of the family's 1533-position model. The record is from RNAcentral.
UACGUAGGGCGCAAGCGUUAUCCGGAAUUAUUGGGCGUAAAGAGCUCGUAGGCGAUUUGUCGCGUCUGCCGUGAAAGUCCGGGGCUCAACUCCGGAUCUGCGGUGGGUACGGGCAGACUAGAGUGAUGUAGGGGAGACUGGAAUUCCUGGUGUAGCGGUGAAAUGCGCAGAUAUCAGGAGGAACACCGAUGGCGAAGGCAGGUCUCUGGGCAUUAACUGACGCUGAGGAGCGAAAGCAUGGGGAGCGAACAGG